Helianthus annuus (common sunflower) is the source of this 129-nucleotide long non-coding RNA. RefSeq lists it as uncharacterized. The record is from RefSeq and is a predicted model, not a curated record. The transcript is spliced from 3 exons. Lineage: Eukaryota; Viridiplantae; Streptophyta; Magnoliopsida; Asterales; Asteraceae.
GGGUCAAACAAGGUAUGAAAGAGUUAGCCUUGGAACAACCCACCAUUAUCAUUGAUGAAACGGUUGAUGAAAGUUAUGAAACAUCCGAAACGGCAUAAGGUUGUCAUGGUUUUUGAGCAUGCUUGCUAG